This 1375-nucleotide ribosomal RNA is filed under the name uncultured bacterium. RNAcentral's name for it is "bacterial SSU rRNA". It matches the Rfam family "Bacterial small subunit ribosomal RNA", at positions 28 to 1381 of the family's 1533-position model. The record is from RNAcentral.
GAUGAACGCUGGCGGCGUGCCUAAUACAUGCAAGUAGAACGCUGAAGCUUGGUGCUUGCACCGAGCGGAUGAGUUGCGAACGGGUGAGUAACGCGUAGGUAACCUGCCUCUUAGCGGGGGAUAACUAUUGGAAACGAUAGCUAAUACCGCAUAAAAGUCAAUAUCGCAUGAUAUUGAUUUGAAAGGUGCAAAUGCAUCACUAAGAGAUGGACCUGCGUUGUAUUAGCUAGUUGGUGAGGUAACGGCUCACCAAGGCGACGAUACAUAGCCGACCUGAGAGGGUGAUCGGCCACACUGGGACUGAGACACGGCCCAGACUCCUACGGGAGGCAGCAGUAGGGAAUCUUCGGCAAUGGGGGCAACCCUGACCGAGCAACGCCGCGUGAGUGAAGAAGGUUUUCGGAUCGUAAAGCUCUGUUGUAAGAGAAGAACGAGUGUGAGAGUGGAAAGUUCACACUGUGACGGUAACUUACCAGAAAGGGACGGCUAACUACGUGCCAGCAGCCGCGGUAAUACGUAGGUGGCAAGCGUUGUCCGGAAUUAUUGGGCGUAAAGCGCGCGCAGGUGGUUUAAUAAGUCUGAUGUGAAAGCCCACGGCUCAACCGUGGAGGGUCAUUGGAAACUGUUAAACUUGAGUGCAGGAGAGAAAAGUGGAAUUCCUAGUGUAGCGGUGAAAUGCGUAGAGAUUAGGAGGAACACCAGUGGCGAAGGCGGCUUUUUGGCCUGUAACUGACACUGAGGCGCGAAAGCGUGGGGAGCAAACAGGAUUAGACACCCUGGUAGUCCACGCCGUAAACGAUGAGUGCUAAGUGUUGGUCUCAUAAGAGAUCAGUGCUGCAGCUAACGCAUUAAGCACUCCGCCUGGGGAGUACGACCGCAAGGUUGAAACUCAAAGGAAUUGACGGGGACCCGCACAAGCGGUGGAGCAUGUGGUUUAAUUCGAAGCAACGCGAAGAACCUUACCAAGUCUUGACAUACUGUGAGGACACAAGAGAUUGUGUUGUUCUGACCUUUGGUUAGACACAGAUACAGGUGGUGCAUGGUUGUCGUCAGCUCGUGUCGUGAGAUGUUGGGUUAAGUCCCGCAACGAGCGCAACCCUUAUAUCUAGUUGCCAGCAGUAAGAUGGGGACUCUAGAUAGACUGCCAGUGAUAAACUGGAGGAAGGUGGGGAUGACGUCAAAUCAUCAUGCCCCUUAUGACUUGGGCUACACACGUGCUACAAUGGAUAGGAACAAAGAGAAGCGAGCUCGCGAGAGUAAGCAAACCUCACAAAACUAUUCUCAGUUCGGAUUGUAGUCUGCAACUCGACUACAUGAAGCUGGAAUCGCUAGUAAUCGCGAAUCAGAAUGUCGCGGUGAAUACGUUCCCGGGUCU